Molecule: ribosomal RNA, 497 nt
Filed under: uncultured bacterium
Lineage: Bacteria
Description: partial 16S ribosomal RNA
Rfam family: Bacterial small subunit ribosomal RNA
Source: RNAcentral
GAUGAACGCUGGCGGUGUGCCUAAUACAUGCAAGUCGAGCGAACGGACGAGAAGCUUGCUUCUCUGAUGUUAGCGGCGGACGGGUGAGUAACACGUGGAUAACCUACCUAUAAGACUGGGAUAACUUCGGGAAACCGUAGCUAAUACCGGAUAAUAUUUUGAACCGCAUGGUUCAAAAGUGAAAGACGGUCUUGCUGUCACUUAUAGAUGGAUCCGCGCUGCAUUAGCUAGUUGGUAAGGUAACGGCUUACCAAGGCAACGAUGUAUAGCCGACCUGAGAGGGUGAUCGGCCACACUGGAACUGAGACACGGUCCAGACUCCUACGGGAGGCAGCAGUAGGGAAUCUUCCGCAAUGGGCGAAAGCCUGACGGAGCAACGCCGCGUGAGUGAUGAAGGUCUUCGGAUCGUAAAACUCUGUUAUUAGGGAAGAACAUAUGUGUAAGUAACUGUGCACAUCUUGACGGUACCUAAUCAGAAAGCCACGGCUAACUACGUG